GACGAACGCUGGCGGCGUGCUUAACACAUGCAAGUCGAACGGAAAGGCCCUGCUUUUGUGGGGUGCUCGAGUGGCGAACGGGUGAGUAACACGUGAGUAACCUGCCCUUGACUUUGGGAUAACUUCAGGAAACUGGGGCUAAUACCGGAUAGGAGCUCCUGCUGCAUGGUGGGGGUUGGAAAGUUUCGGCGGUUGGGGAUGGACUCGCGGCUUAUCAGCUUGUUGGUGGGGUAGUGGCUUACCAAGGCUUUGACGGGUAGCCGGCCUGAGAGGGUGACCGGCCACAUGGGGACUGAGAUCCGGCCCAGACUCCUAGGGGAGGAAGCAGUGGGGAAUAUUGCACAAUGGGCGGAAGCCUGAUGCAGCAACGCCGCGUGCGGGAUGACGGCCUUCGGGUUGUAAACCGCUUUCGCCUGGGACGAAGCGUGAGUGACGGUAAGGGGUAAAGAAGCACCGGCUAACUACG
RNAcentral lists this ribosomal RNA (466 nucleotides) under uncultured bacterium. RNAcentral's name for it is "partial 16S ribosomal RNA". It matches the Rfam family "Bacterial small subunit ribosomal RNA", at positions 28 to 505 of the family's 1533-position model. The record is from RNAcentral.